This is a long non-coding RNA of Folsomia candida, 949 nucleotides long. RefSeq lists it as uncharacterized. The record is from RefSeq and is a predicted model, not a curated record. Lineage: Eukaryota; Metazoa; Arthropoda; Collembola; Entomobryomorpha; Isotomidae. The transcript has 2 exons.
AUGGUAGCAAAAAAAAACAUGUAUGUACAUAUACUAUUUAUCACUUGAAGAAUAUGCAAACUAAAUUCCCCACGAGCUGCUAAAAUAAUAUUAUUUCACAAUCUUUGAUCGUGCUAAUUUCCAAAAUUUUAUUUGAAGGUAGAAAAAGAAAACGAACCAACGAUUUUCCUGUACUUCACUUUAACAUUUCCUGUUAUUUACUUCACAUAUAAACCUUCCGUGCUGACAACAAUAAAACCAAAGAAAACUGAAAAUAAAUUGUUUGUGCGUGGUGGUUUUGUUAUCUGGAUGUGAGAUCACUCUCUGGUAAGAGCAUAUGUACAUAACUACGAGGAUGGAAUGAUGGAUCGACCCAAUGUACUGACUGAAUCCAUGCAUAAACAUACAGGAACUGAAAGUUCAAGUUGAAGACAAGUGUAUGUACACAAAAUUAUACGCUCUCAGCCCCUUCAACUUGCAAAUACAUGGGAUAAUGUGGAAGACAAUUAUUUAACUACUGAACAGAGAGAUAGUGCAUUCGUAUUUACAAUCGGGGAUUAUAUUUCUGGAUAACAAUUAUGCUACACAUAAGUAAGUACACCUAAUUGAAUACUUAAUGUCAUGUCAUAUUGCUCGAGACUCUAUCUCUUCCUUUAUCAAAUUAAGUAUAAUAAUCCGAAUAGGAAGUAUGUACGAGUGCAUUCUCCCAACAAUUUUCUCAAGAAAAAAGUAAAUUCCCACACGUUCCACAUAAAAAUUAUAGUUCUAUCAGUUCCAUGGACAAAAAACGCCAUGCAAUUCUACAACUUUAUGCACAUCACAUUUAUGUAUGAUGUACAUACGACAUGUUGGACAGAGGAUAACUUAGAUUUUAUUUAAAUAUUAAAAUAGAAUUUGUUUUUAUCUUUACUGUUUUUUAUGCAUUCAAAUCAGAUUAAAAUAUAGUUGGCCUCUUGAUUUUCAAAAUCAA